GACGAACGCUGGCGGCGUGCCUAAUACAUGCAAGUCGAACGGAAAGGCCCUGCUUUUGUGGGGUGCUCGAGUGGCGAACGGGUGAGUAACACGUGAGUAACCUGCCCUUGACUUUGGGAUAACUUUAGGAAACUGGGGCUAAUACCGGAUAGGAGCACCUGUUGCAUGGUGGGGGUUGAAAAGUUUCGGCGGUUGGGGAUGGACACGCGGCUUAUCAGCUUGUUGGUGGGGUAGUGGUUUACCAAGGCUUUGACGGGUAGCCGGCCUGAGAGGGUGACGGGCCACAUUGGGACUGAGAUACGGCCAAGACUCCUACUGGAGGCAGCAGUGGGAAAUAUUGCACGAUGGGCGGAAGCCUGAUGCAGCAACGCCGCGUGCGGGAUGACGGCCUUCGGGUUGUAAACCGCUUUCGCCUGUGACGAAGCGUGAGUGACGGUAAUUGGUAAGAAAGCACCGGCUAACUACGUG
This 468-nucleotide ribosomal RNA is filed under the name uncultured bacterium. Its description in RNAcentral is "partial 16S ribosomal RNA". It matches the Rfam family "Bacterial small subunit ribosomal RNA", at positions 28 to 507 of the family's 1533-position model. The record is from RNAcentral.